Molecule: ribosomal RNA, 446 nt
Filed under: Psychrobacter sp. ORHg3
Lineage: Bacteria; Pseudomonadati; Pseudomonadota; Gammaproteobacteria; Moraxellales; Moraxellaceae
Description: bacterial SSU rRNA
Rfam family: Bacterial small subunit ribosomal RNA
Source: RNAcentral
AUUGAAAGCUGGCGGCAGGCUUAACACAUGCAAGUCGAGCGGAAACGAUGGGAGCUUGCUCCCAGGCGUCGAGCGGCGGACGGGUGAGUAACACUUAGGAAUCUACCUAGUAGUGGGGGAUAGCUCGGGGAAACUCGAAUUAAUACCGCAUACGACCUACGGGAGAAAGGGGGCAGUUUACUGCUCUCGCUAUUAGAUGAGCCUAAGUCGGAUYAGCUAGAUGGUGGGGUAAAGGCCUACCAUGGCGACGAUCUGUAGCUGGUCUGAGAGGAUGAUCAGCCACACCGGGACUGAGACACGGCCCGGACUCCUACGGGAGGCAGCAGUGGGGAAUAUUGGACAAUGGGGGGAACCCUGAUCCAGCCAUGCCGCGUGUGUGAAGAAGGCCUUUUGGUUGUAAAGCACUUUAAGCAGUGAAGAAGACCAUACGGUUAAUACCCAUAGCG